RNAcentral lists this ribosomal RNA (546 nucleotides) under fungal sp. GZ-2010d. RNAcentral describes it as "eukaryotic LSU rRNA". The stretch from base 231 to 384 matches the Rfam family "5.8S ribosomal RNA". Lineage: Eukaryota; Fungi. The record is from RNAcentral.
UGGAAGUAAAAGUCGUAACAAGGUCUCCGUUGGUGAACCAGCGGAGGGAUCAUUGCUGGAACGCGCCCCAGGCGCACCCAGAAACCCUUUGUGAACUUAUACCUUAUUGUUGCCUCGGCGCAUGCCGGCCCCCAGGGGCCCCUCGGAGACGAGGAGCAGGCACGCCGGCGGCCAAGUUAACUCUUGUUUUUACACUGAAACUCUGAGAGAAAAAAAACAAAAUGAAUCAAAACUUUCAACAACGGAUCUCUUGGUUCUGGCAUCGAUGAAGAACGCAGCGAAAUGCGAUAAGUAAUGUGAAUUGCAGAAUUCAGUGAAUCAUCGAAUCUUUGAACGCACAUUGCGCCCUCCGGUAUUCCGGAGGGCAUGCCUGUUCGAGCGUCAUUUCAACCCUCAAGCAUUGCUUGGUGUUGGGGCACUGCCUGUAAAAGGGCAGGCCCUGAAAUUCAGUGGCGAGCUCGCCAGGACCCCGAGCGCAGUAGUUAAACCCUCGCUUUGGAAGGCCCUGGCGGUGCCCUGCCGUUAAACCCCCAACUCUUGAAAAUU